AACAUAACAUCCAUGUAUACAUUUUUGCCAAGUCCUGUUUCAGGAAAAUGUGUGUCCGACAAGAUGUUCUGUAUUUUCACUGCAGCUGUUUAAGAUUAUCAUCAUUCAGGCUGUUUGGCAGGCACCCUUAACUACUUUUUACAUACACAAAAUGCCUACGUCAUUGCAAGUGCUGCUGCACGUCGUGACAAGCAUACUAAGUACAUCAUGUAGUUGUUUAACCAGUUCGACGACGACAUUCUUGGUGGCCUUGGUUUGGUGCGCAGGUAGUAUUCAUCUUACGAGACACGUCAAGCUCUACAGGACACCGUCCUACUUUCUAACGAAAUACCUAGGGGCGCUGUGAGACCAAUCAUGUGCUGCUGUCGGCUCCAGUCCUGCUGUUGCUGUGGCCUCCGCGAAGGGUCGAUCGCUAUUGGGAUUAUCGAUUUGAUCCUGUCAGCACUAGGGCUAGGCUGGAAUGUGUGGCCAAUCGCGGCUGGUAGAGGUGUAGGUGAGAUGAAAGUCUGAUUUCUAUCCAAGAUAAGCAACAA
This is a long non-coding RNA of Branchiostoma belcheri (Belcher's lancelet), 533 nucleotides long. RefSeq lists it as uncharacterized. The record is from RefSeq and is a predicted model, not a curated record. NCBI's taxonomy places the organism in Eukaryota, Metazoa, Chordata, Leptocardii, Amphioxiformes, Branchiostomatidae. The transcript is spliced from 3 exons.